This 81-nucleotide small nuclear RNA is filed under the name Erinaceus europaeus (western European hedgehog). RNAcentral's name for it is "7SK RNA". It matches the Rfam family "7SK RNA", at positions 7 to 96 of the family's 331-position model. Rfam says of the family: 7SK was discovered as an abundant small nuclear RNA in the mid-70s but a possible function has only recently been suggested. Two independent studies have found that 7SK RNA binds the CDK9/cyclin T complex (known as elongation factor P-TEFb). Lineage: Eukaryota; Metazoa; Chordata; Mammalia; Eulipotyphla; Erinaceidae. The record is from Rfam by way of RNAcentral.
GGGGACCAUCUAGCUGCGACAUCUGUCACCCCAGUGAUGGCCCGGAUUGAUGUGGCUGGCUGGGCGGGUGUCCCCUUCCUC